This 690-nucleotide long non-coding RNA is filed under the name Olea europaea (common olive). RNAcentral describes it as "long non-coding RNA (OEUR_LNC013021)". The record is from RNAcentral. Lineage: Eukaryota; Viridiplantae; Streptophyta; Magnoliopsida; Lamiales; Oleaceae.
CUCAAUCGUCACGACCACCACCAAUGUUACCACCACCUCAUAACUGCAACCAACAUCACAAUCAUCACCACCCAAAAAUCACCAAAAAAUCAGAUCCAAAAUAAUGCUAUCACACAAUCAAGCCGCGACCACCACUAACUCACUUGAUCGCCAACAUUGCCAUCACAAACUGCAAGGAGUGGCCAUCGUGCUCAUCGUUGUUUCUAUCCCAAACCCUAAUAGAUUCCUCCUUCAAAUCCACCAUACCCUUUCUCUCCCUCACACACCACAAGUCCAACCCCCGACAACACCUUCAAAUGCCAACAUCUUUGUUUGCAGGUGCACCUGUUUGCAUACCACACCACAAAUUUUGCCACCCUUUUCUCCUCUCUCGAUUUUCUUUCUCAUACAUGAAAAUUGCUGCCACAUAUGAGAAGACACAACUUGCCACAUAUGAGAAGACACAACCAAAAUAUGUUGCAAGCGACAUUGUGAUGAUGCCUCUAGUACUACUAACAAUUUGAAUAUUGACAAAAGUACGAAAUAUUCUCCAUCUACUUUUACCUUGACUGGCGAUAAGUCUCACGGCAACAAUUGUUGCCUGGGUGGCAACUGUAGAUGUGGCUUUACAUCUGAUGGUGAGAAAAAAAGGAUAGAGAGAUAGUGAGAGAAGAGAGAUGCGUGAUGUUUAGAGAGAGAAAGAAUGGAGAG